RNAcentral lists this ribosomal RNA (870 nucleotides) under uncultured archaeon. RNAcentral's name for it is "bacterial SSU rRNA". It matches the Rfam family "Archaeal small subunit ribosomal RNA", at positions 4 to 882 of the family's 1478-position model. The record is from RNAcentral.
CUGGUUGAUCCUGCCAGACCCGACUGCUAUCGGAUUGGGACUAAGCCAUGCGAGUCAACUCCGCAAGGGGUGGCGCACGGCUCAGUAACACGUAGUCAACCUACCCUGGGGACGGGGAUAACCUCGGGAAACUGAGGCUAAACCCCGAUGGGCCAUGGCUCCUGGAAUGGGCUAUGGCUGAAAUCUACAUGGCCCCAGGAUGGGACUGCGGCCGAUCAGGUUGUUGGUGGGGUAAUGGCCCACCAAGCCUAUAACCGGUGCGGGCUCUGAGAGGAGGAGCCCGAAGAUGGGCACUGAGACAAGGGCCCAGGUCCUAUGGGGCGCAGCAGGCGCGAAACCUCCGCAAUGGGCGAAAGCCCGACGGGGUCAGUCCGAGUGGUUCCCGCUGAGGGAACCUUUUGCCAGCUGUAAACAGGCUGGCGAAUAAGGGGUGGGCAAGUUUGGUGUCAGCCGCCGCGGUAAUACCAGCACCCCGAGUGGUCGGGACGAUUAUUGGGCCUAAAGCAUCCGUAGCCGGCCCAGUAAGUCCUCCGUUAAAUCCAACGGCUCAACCGUUGGGCUGCGGGGGAUACUGCUGGGCUAGGGGACGGGAGAGGCGAGGGGUAUUCCCGGGGUAGGGGUAAAAUCCACUGAUCCCGGGAGGACCACCAGUGGCGAAGGCGCCUCGCUAGAACGUGCCCGACGGUGAGGGAUGAAAGCUGGGGGAGCGAACCGGAUUAGAUACCCGGGUAGUCCCAGCCGUAAACGAUGUAGGCUCGGUGUUGGGCUGCCUCAGUGGCAGCCCAGUGCCGCAGGGAAGCCGUUAAGCCUACCGCCUGGGGAGUACGGCCGCAAGGCUGAAACUUAAAGGAAUUGGCGGGGGAGCACCAC